AUUGAACGCUGGCGGCAUGCUUUACACAUGCAAGUCGAACGGCAGCGCGGGCUUCGGCCUGGCGGCGAGUGGCGAACGGGUGAGUAAUGCAUCGGAACGUGCCCAGUAGUGGGGGAUAGCCCGGCGAAAGCCGGAUUAAUACCGCAUACGACCUGAGGGUGAAAGCGGGGGACCGAAAGGCCUCGCGCUCUUGGAGCGGCCGAUGUCGGAUUAGCUAGUUGGUGGGGUAAAGGCUUACCCAGGCGACGAUCCGUAGCUGGUCUGAGAGGACGACCAGCCACACUGGGACUGAGACACGGCCCAGACUCCUACGGGAGGCAGCAGUGGGGAAUUUUGGACAAUGGGGGCAACCCUGAUCCAGCCAUGCCGCGUGCGGGAAGAAGGCCUUCGGGUUGUAAAGCGCUUUUGUUCGGGAAGAAAUGCUCUGGGCUAAUACCCCGGGGGGAUGACGGUACCGGAAGAAUAAGCACCGGCUAACUACGUG
Molecule: ribosomal RNA, 484 nt
Filed under: uncultured bacterium
Lineage: Bacteria
Description: partial 16S ribosomal RNA
Rfam family: Bacterial small subunit ribosomal RNA
Source: RNAcentral